This 262-nucleotide long non-coding RNA is filed under the name Cavia porcellus (domestic guinea pig). Its description in RNAcentral is "lncRNA (ENSCPOG00000035924.1)". Lineage: Eukaryota; Metazoa; Chordata; Mammalia; Rodentia; Caviidae. The record is from RNAcentral.
CUGGCGGCAGGACAUGCCUAGUCCUCAGCCUUAAGAAGUGCUACAAACUUCUGCCUUGUCUGCUCUCUUGUGGCUGACAGCCCCUGUCCUGCGGCCUCAGAAAGCAGCAGCGGUGGCAGUGGCCAGACUGUAGUCACCCGCUCAGCUCACUGCCCUCCCUAGUCGGCCAUGAUAACGAAGCAUGCUACAAUUCUCCUUCCCGGAGCCAGAGAAGUACUGGUGAUAAGGAAGGCUGGGAGAGAAAGAAGAUACUGUAUGUCUG